GUGGGAAUAGCUCAGUUGGUUAGAGCGUCUGAUUGUGGUCCAGAAGGUCGCCGGUUCAAUUCCGGUUUCCCACCCCA
RNAcentral lists this transfer RNA (77 nucleotides) under Candidatus Saccharimonadota bacterium. RNAcentral describes it as "tRNA-His". It matches the Rfam family "tRNA". Rfam says of the family: Transfer RNA (tRNA) molecules are approximately 80 nucleotides in length. The record is from RNAcentral. Lineage: Bacteria; Candidatus Saccharimonadota.